Molecule: ribosomal RNA, 253 nt
Filed under: uncultured bacterium
Lineage: Bacteria
Description: partial 16S ribosomal RNA
Rfam family: Bacterial small subunit ribosomal RNA
Source: RNAcentral
UACGUAGGGGGCGAGCGUUGUCCGGAGUUACUGGGCGUAAAGCGCAUGCAGGCGGUCCUGUAAGUUUGGAGUGACAGUUUCCGGCUCAACCGGGAAAGUGCUUUGAAAACUGCGGGACUUGAGGGCUUCAGAGGGACACGGAAUUCCGGGUGGAGUGGUGAAAUGCGUAGAUAUCCGGAGGAACACCGAAGGCGAAGGCAGUGUCCUGGGGAGCACCUGACGCUCAGAUGCGAAAGCCAGGGGAGCAAACGGG